This 394-nucleotide ribosomal RNA is filed under the name uncultured bacterium. RNAcentral describes it as "partial 16S ribosomal RNA". It matches the Rfam family "Bacterial small subunit ribosomal RNA", at positions 523 to 918 of the family's 1533-position model. The record is from RNAcentral.
AUACGUAGGGAGCGAGCGUUGUCCGGAAUUACUGGGCGUAAAGGGCGCGUAGGCGGCGCUUCAAGUCGUCUGUCAAACGGGAGGGCUUAACCCUUUUUCGCAGACGAAACUGGAGAGCUUGAGAAGCAGAGAGGCAAACAGAAUUCCUGGUGUAGCGGUGAAAUGCGUAGAUAUCAGGAAGAAUACCAGUGGCGAAGGCGGUUUGCUGGCUGCAUACUGACGCUGAAGCGCGAAAGCCAGGGGAGCAAACGGGAUUAGAUACCCCGGUAGUCCUGGCAGUAAACGAUGUAUGCUGGGUGUGAGACUAGCGAUAGUUUCGUGCCGAAGUUAACGCGAUAAGCAUACCGCCUGGGGAGUACGGUCGCAAGAUUGAAACUCAAAGGAAUUGACGGGG